Apodemus sylvaticus (European woodmouse) is the source of this 1361-nucleotide long non-coding RNA. RefSeq lists it as uncharacterized. NCBI's taxonomy places the organism in Eukaryota, Metazoa, Chordata, Mammalia, Rodentia, Muridae. The transcript is spliced from 4 exons. The record is from RefSeq and is a predicted model, not a curated record.
UUAUAACUUAGUUGUCAUUUCACUUGUAGGUAACCCCUUGCUUUUUGUUAGGCCACAGUAAAAAGAUCAGAUACAGAGUGAUCCUCAGGUAGGUGGGAGGGGGAGGAAGAGUUUGCAUUCUCUUCCUCGUUUCUUUUUAAGAAAAGUGCCGUUCCAAUGCGGGGGAGCGAGUAGGGCAGCCCGGGAGAAGGAGGAACAAACAGGUCUAGGGCUGGCGCGCAGACCAGGUGAGAAGCCAGUAGGACUGUCCCCUUCUGAGGCUACGGAAGAAACAAAUGAAGAGGAAGGCCAUGACUGCUCCUAGGAAUGUGGAGCCCCUGGAGGCUGGAGUUAUAAGCAGUUGAGAGCUGCUUGACACAGUUGCUGGCAACCAACCUUGAGUCCCCUUCAAGAGAAAUAAGUGGCCUUGACCGCUGAGCCAUGUCUCCAGUGCCUGGACUCGACUUUGGAAACAUUUUAAUUGCUAAUUUAGUGCAGUGGCACAAACAAUGGAUCUCCUGUACAGGAGAUGCGAUGAGGGACUCCCAAUGGGAAGAAUGAUCCUGAAAACAGGACGAAAGACGGAGGGCUACACAGACAUGGACUUCAAGGAAGGAUGCAAAGAUGACUUCAGUUAGCAAGCUGGAGAGGAUUGAAUUAAAACGACUAUUUAUGCGUUAGUGUUGUGGCAUCUGGCAGAUAGACUUAAAAAGUUUUGGGUACAUGGGAAUAAGAAGACUUCAUUCUAAGAGAGCUAGAGAAAACUUCAGGGAAGAGAUGGCAUCUGAGCUAAUGCUUGAAGUGUGGGCAAGACCCUGACAAAUGAGAGAGAAGAAGAGUAGUGGAGAAGCACAAAAUAAAAGUGCCCACAGUGGUCAAGAUGAAAGUGCGGCUCUUCCGCAGAAUUACGGUUCAACUCUCAGCACCCACAUAGCAGCUCACAACUAUAUAUAACUCCAGUUACAGGUGAUCCAACUGAAGAUCUGAGGAUCUUGGCCUCCAGUGGUGACAGUUGUCCAUGCAGUACAUAGACAUACAUACUUAAUAAAAAUAACUAAAGAGAAGAAGAUGUUAUUAUUGUUGUUGAUGAUGAUGGUGGUAAUGGCGACGUAUGUGUGUGUAUACUCUGUGGGUAUGUGUGAAGGCAAGAGAAUAGUCUUUGAGGUCAUUCCUCAGAUAUAAUCAACAUUCUUUUUAAGACAGGGUCUCUCACUGGUCUUGAGUUUAUCAAUAGGCUAGGCUGGCUGCUGGACUGGUGGUCUGAGAGAUCUAUGUAUCUCUGCCUCUCAAGCUCUGGCUGGGAAUUCAAGGGCACCAUACCUAGCUUUUAAAAAUGCAGGUUCUAGGGAUGCAAUUCAGGUCCCCAUGCUUGAAGACACAUU